UCGGACGUCGUGCAAGGCGCACCUCUGCUCCCAAUGCGAGAUGAUUCCACAUUAAUAUUGCGGCAGAAAUCUAAUCGGGGUUCGAUUCCCCGCGUCCGAA
Non-coding RNA from Mycena crocata, 100 nucleotides. The record is from the annotation of a GenBank genome assembly. NCBI's taxonomy places the organism in Eukaryota, Fungi, Basidiomycota, Agaricomycetes, Agaricales, Mycenaceae.